GAAGUAAAAGUCGUAACAAGGUUUCCGUAGGUGA
Molecule: ribosomal RNA, 34 nt
Filed under: Dermanyssus gallinae
Lineage: Eukaryota; Metazoa; Arthropoda; Arachnida; Mesostigmata; Dermanyssidae
Description: partial 18S ribosomal RNA
Source: RNAcentral